Motacilla alba alba is the source of this 1693-nucleotide long non-coding RNA. RefSeq lists it as uncharacterized. The record is from RefSeq and is a predicted model, not a curated record. The transcript is spliced from 7 exons. Lineage: Eukaryota; Metazoa; Chordata; Aves; Passeriformes; Motacillidae.
UGGAUGGGAAAAGGGGAAAAUGGGAGAAAGGAGAACCUAGAUCAUUUGGAAUAAAUAAUCCAAAUCUGGGAUAGUGGAAGGAAAAUCAAACAAAGAAAAACACACUGUGAAACCCCCAAACCAACUACACAAAGUUUUUUUUUAAAAAUACAGCAAAAAGAUGAAGGAAAGAAACAAACCCCCUAAACUUCCCCCCAAAUCAACUCGUUCAGGUGCUUGAACAAGAUGAGAGAGCAGCAUAAAAGCAGGUAUUUUAUAGAAAUGAUGUAUCCAAGAAUGAACAAGAAAGAAGAAGAAAAUGCUUUAAACUUUGAGCAGAUUAAUUUUUUUAGAAACCUGAGCAUGUUUCUCCACCAGUGCAGAACUAGUGAGGAUCUUCAGGCAGAACACUGUGGGCAAAUAUGCAGGCAGCAUUCUUCAGUGCAGUGAAAAUGGAGUACAGAGAGUAUUAAAAUGUUUAACACAAUCAUUUCCAGGGAUUUAUAUAGCAUUUAGUCUUUUAUGAAAUGACAGACUGAUAAAACUACUUCUGACAAGAGUGCUCAAUGUACAUUGGCAACUCUUGGGUAUGUAGUUGCAAGGGUGCGAUGCUGCUUAUUCUUGGGGAAAAAAAUCUGUUUGACUUGGAGGGAAUAGGAUUACAUUUCCAGAGAGCAAAGAGCAGCUGGUGUGUGCUAAAUGAAUCUGCAACACAGCAUCAUGGUGAAAGAAAAUAGUUCAUAGAGCAUCAAAGAACAUCACAGUCAUUGUUCAAGUUUUAUUUGUUCCUACAUCAGUUUUCAGUAGAGAAACUUUCAAUUCCCUCUGCUCUGAAUGCCCUGUUAACUUUCUGCAAGUCUUGUGAGUAAAUAAAGCUUGUUUGCCUCGCAGCUUCUGUGCAAAGGAAGUUUUCAUCCUGGUUUAAGGCCAAAUGCUAUCAGGUGAGGAGCAGCCUCCAGCUUUUUACAGGUGAGAGCGUGCCUGCUCAGGCAUGCAGAAGCCUUCAAGUCAAAACCCACAGUGCUUGAUAUCUCACUGCUGUUAGUGCUGAAGGAGAACUGAAGGGAGUAAAUAAAGUCUCUGCAGAAGAGCCUUCCAGGAGUACCCAGCUGACCACCCUGAUCCUGCUUUCCAGAGCAGAACUUACUCCUUGAGCAGUGAUGCCCCAAUGUCCUACCUGCACCUACUCUUUGUGAGAGGAGCCCUGCGCUGGAGGAUUGGGUGGCUCAAGGGCCCAGCAGAGCUUUCCAGCUGAUCCCAGCUCUGCGGGUGAGUCGCUGCCUCAGCUGGGCAGAGCUGUGGCUGCAGGGGGUUCUCAGCACGGGCAGGAGAGGCUGAGGAGCAGAAGGGCUGAGGAGAGGACGCCUGCAGCACUGUGCAGCUGGGAAAGGCAAGGAACAGCAAUCCUGGGAUCCUGGCUCCCACACCUCGCUCCCAGGUUUAGAACAUCAGAUGACUCUUAGCAGAUGUGAAAUGCUUCUGGAAGCCAAACAGUGGUUCUGUUGAUAUCCUUUGGACCACCCUGUUGUAAGUUGCACAUCCUCGUUAAAACAGGGAUGAAAUGGUCCCCAGGACCUGUCCCUGCUCUCUGUGGGUACUGCUGCACCAGCAAACUCCAGAGGGCCCCUGAGUGCAGAGACCUGGAGUGCAGUCAGCUCUUUGUAAGCUUCACAGAGUAGCUGAAAGAAGGCAGAGAACAAACACCACCAGUUCC